RNAcentral lists this ribosomal RNA (465 nucleotides) under uncultured bacterium. RNAcentral describes it as "partial 16S ribosomal RNA". It matches the Rfam family "Bacterial small subunit ribosomal RNA", at positions 28 to 507 of the family's 1533-position model. The record is from RNAcentral.
GACGAACGCUGGCGGCGUGCUUAACACAUGCAAGUCGAACGGUGAACUCCGCUUGCGGGGGGAUCAGUGGCGAACGUGUGAGUAACACGUGGGCAACCUGCCCUCAGCUCUGGGAUAACUCCAAGAAAUUGGGGCUAAUACCGGAUAUGACCGCUGACCGCAUGGUCUGGUGGUGGAAAGAUUUAUCGGCUGGGGAUGGGCCCGCGGCCUAUCAGCUUGUUGGUGGGGUAGUGGCGUACCAAGGCGACGACGGGUAGCCGGCCUGAGAGGGUGACCGGCCACACUGGGACUGAGACACGGCCCAGACUCCUACGGGAGGCAGCAGUGGGGAAUAUUGCGCAAUGGGCGAAAGCCUGACGCAGCGACGCCGCGUGGGGGAUGACGGCCUUCGGGUUGUAAACCUCUUUCAGCAGGGACGAAGCGAAAGUGACGGUACCUGCAGAAGAAGCACCGGCCAACUACGUG